UACGUAGGGGGCAAGCGUUGUCCGGAUUUAUUGGGCGUAAAGAGCUCGUAGGUGGUUCGGUAAGUCGGAUGUGAAAUCUCCAGGCUCAACCUGGAGGGGUCAUUCGAUACUGCCGUGACUAGAGUUCGGUAGGGGAGUGUGGAAUUCCUGGUGGAGCGGUGAAAUGCGCAGAUAUCAGGAGGGACACCGAUGGCGAAGGCAGCUCGCUGGGACGGUACUGACGCUGAGGCGCGAAAGCGUGGGGAGCAAACAGG
Molecule: ribosomal RNA, 254 nt
Filed under: uncultured bacterium
Lineage: Bacteria
Description: partial 16S ribosomal RNA
Rfam family: Bacterial small subunit ribosomal RNA
Source: RNAcentral